ACCCCGUGUGACCCUGCUAUUGUGUGACCCCCCCACACCUCCUUGCACGUGGUCUGGACCCAGGGACUUGUCGUAAUGUGUCCAGAGUGUCGAGCCACCCCGAGGCCAGUUCACCAAAGACCGUGUGUGACUCAGUCUCGCACCCGCUCGCUUCGAUGGGCCGGCUGCCCGGCUGCGGCGAGAGGCUCGUGGGGGGAAGACCCAGCCCAACCUCGAGACGACGGUGACCCUGGCCGACAUCUGACUGCAGCUUUGUACGAGACGCUGAGCCGGGGGACCUUGACCUACAGAAACGGAGACACAGGGUCUUGCUCUAUCACCCAGACUGGAGUGCAGGACCGCAGGACCUGGCAGGACUGCAGCUCACUGCAGCCUUGAACUGCUAGGAUCAAGUGACCCUCCUGGGACUACAGGGCCUGGCAACCACCAUUCCACUUUCUAUAAACUGGACGAGUCUGUGUAACUCCUGUAAGUGAUAUCAAACAACAUUUGCUCUUUUGUGUCUGGCUUAUUUCAUGGAGCACAGUGUCUUCAAGGUUCAUUCACAUUGUACAGGUGU
This is a non-coding RNA of Microcebus murinus (gray mouse lemur), 559 nucleotides long. The record is from RefSeq and is a predicted model, not a curated record. Lineage: Eukaryota; Metazoa; Chordata; Mammalia; Primates; Cheirogaleidae.